CAGGCUUAACACAUGCAAGUCGAGGGGCAGCAUGGUCUUAGCUUGCUAAGGCCGAUGGCGACCGGCGCACGGGUGAGUAACACGUAUCCAACCUGCCGUCUACUCUUGGACAGCCUUCUGAAAGGAAGAUUAAUACAAGAUGGCAUCAUGAGUCCGCAUGUUCACAUGAUUAAAGGUAUUCCGGUAGACGAUGGGGAUGCGCUCCAUUAGAUAGUAGGCGGGGUAACGGCCCACCUAGUCUUCGAUGGAUAGGGGUUCUGAGAGGAAGGUCCCCCACAUUGGAACUGAGACACGGUCCAAACUCCUACGGGAGGCAGCAGUGAGGAAUAUUGGUCAAUGGGCGCAGGCCUGAACCAGCCAAGUAGCGUGAAGGAUGACUGCCCUAUGGGUUGUAAACUUCUUUUAUAAAGGAAUAAAGUCGGGUAUGGAUACCCGUUUGCAUGUACUUUAUGAAUAAGGAUCGGCUAACUCCGUGCCAGCAGCCGCGGUAAUACGGAGGAUCCGAGCGUUAUCCGGAUUUAUUGGGUUUAAAGGGAGCGUAGAUGGAUGUUUAAGUCAGUUGUGAAAGUUUGCAGCUCAACCGUAAAAUUGCAGUUGAUACUGGAUAUCUUGAGUGCAGUUGAGGCAGGCGGAAUUCGUGGUGUAGCGGUGAAAUGCUUAGAUAUCACGAAGAACUCCGAUUGCGAAGGCAGCCUGCUAAGCUGCAACUGACAUUGAGGCUCGAAAGUGUGGGUAUCAAACAGGAUUAGAUACCCUGGUAGUCCACACGGUAAACGAUGAAUACUCGCUGUUUGCGAUAUACAGCAAGCGGCCAAGCGAAAGCGUUAAGUAUUCCACCUGGGGAGUACGCCGGCAACGGUGAAACUCAAAGGAAUUGACGGGGGCCCGCACAAGCGGAGGAACAUGUGGUUUAAUUCGAUGAUACGCGAGGAACCUUACCCGGGCUUAAAUUGCAGAUGAAUUACGGUGAAAGCCGUAAGCCGCAAGGCAUCUGUGAAGGUGCUGCAUGGUUGUCGUCAGCUCGUGCCGUGAGGUGUCGGCUUAAGUGCCAUAACGAGCGCAACCCUUGUUGUCAGUUACUAACAGGUUCCGCUGAGGACUCUGACAAGACUGCCAUCGUAAGAUGUGAGGAAGGUGGGGAUGACGUCAAAUCAGCACGGCCCUUACGUCCGGGGCUACACACGUGUUACAAUGGGGGGUACAGAGGGCCGCUACCACGCGAGUGGAUGCCAAUCCCCAAAACCUCUCUCAGUUCGGACUGGAGUCUGCAACCCGACUCCACGAAGCUGGAUUCGCUAGUAAUCGCGCAUCAGCCACGGCGCGGUGAAUACGUUCCCGGGCCUUGUACACACCGCCCGUCAAGCCAUGGGAGCCGGGGGUACCUGAAGUGCGUAACCGCGAGGAGCGCCCUAGGGUAAAACUGGUGACUGGGGC
Molecule: ribosomal RNA, 1434 nt
Filed under: uncultured organism
Description: 16S ribosomal RNA
Rfam family: Bacterial small subunit ribosomal RNA
Source: RNAcentral